AUUGAACGCUGGCGGCAGGCCUAACACAUGCAAGUCGAGCGGCAGCGGGAAAGUAGCUUGCUACUUUUGCCGGCGAGCGGCGGACGGGUGAGUAAUGCCUGGGGAUCUGCCCAGUCGAGGGGGAUAACUACUGGAAACGGUAGCUAAUACCGCAUACGCCCUACGGGGGAAAGCAGGGGACCUUCGGGCCUUGCGCGAUUGGAUGAACCCAGGUGGGAUUAGCUAGUUGGUGAGGUAAUGGCUCACCAAGGCGACGAUCGCUAGCUGGUCUGGGAGGAUGACCAGCCACACAGGAAGUGAGACACGGUCCAGACUCCUACGGGAGGCAGCGGUGGGGAAUAUUGCACAAUGGGGGAAACCCUGAUGCAGCCAUGCCGCGUGUGUGAAGAAGGCCUUCGGGUUGUAAAGCACUUUCAGCGAGGAGGAAAGGUUGGUAGCUAAUAACUGCCAGCUGUGACGUUACUCGCAGAAGAAGCACCGGCUAACUCCGUGCCAGCAGCCGCGGUAA
This 508-nucleotide ribosomal RNA is filed under the name uncultured bacterium. RNAcentral's name for it is "partial 16S ribosomal RNA". It matches the Rfam family "Bacterial small subunit ribosomal RNA", at positions 29 to 523 of the family's 1533-position model. The record is from RNAcentral.